RNAcentral lists this ribosomal RNA (429 nucleotides) under Pseudomonadota bacterium. Its description in RNAcentral is "Proteobacteria bacterium partial 16S ribosomal RNA". It matches the Rfam family "Bacterial small subunit ribosomal RNA", at positions 355 to 776 of the family's 1533-position model. Lineage: Bacteria; Pseudomonadati; Pseudomonadota. The record is from RNAcentral.
UGGGGAAUAUUGGACAAUGGGCGAAAGCCUGAUCCAGCCAUGCCGCGUGUGUGAAGAAGGUCUUCGGAUUGUAAAGCACUUUAAGUUGGGAGGAAGGGCAGUAAGCGAAUACCUUGCUGUUUUGACGUUACCGACAGAAUAAGCACCGGCUAACUCUGUGCCAGCAGCCGCGGUAAUACAGAGGGUGCAAGCGUUAAUCGGAAUUACUGGGCGUAAAGCGCGCGUAGGUGGUUCGUUAAGUUGAAUGUGAAAGCCCCGGGCUCAACCUGGGAACUGCAUCCAAAACUGGCGAGCUAGAGUAGGGCAGAGGGUGGUGGAAUUUCCUGUGUAGCGGAGAAAUGCGCAGAUAUAGGAAGGAACACCAGUGGCGAAGGCGACCACCUGGGCUCAUACUGACACUGAGGUGCGAAAGCGUGGGGAGCAAACAGG